AUACGGAGGAUGCGAGCGUUAUCCGGAUUUAUUGGGUUUAAAGGGAGCGUAGGCGGGAGCUUAAGUCAGCGGUUAAAUGGUGCGGCUCAACCGUGCCCUGCCGUUGAAACUGGGUUUCUUGAGAGUGCAAGAGGCGGAUGGAAUUCAUGGUGUAGCGGUGAAAUGCUUAGAUAUCAUGAAGAACUCCGAUUGCGAAGGCAGUCCGCUGGGGCACGUCUGACGCUGAUGCUCGAAGGUGCGGGAAUCAAACAGGAUUAGAUACCCUGGUAGUCCGCACGGUAAACGAUGAUUACCCGCUGUCGGCGGUAGACAGUCGGCGGCCAAGCGAAAGCGAUAAGCGCCCCACCUGGGGAGUACGGUCGCAAGGCUGAAACUCAAAUGAAUUGACGGGG
RNAcentral lists this ribosomal RNA (392 nucleotides) under uncultured bacterium. Its description in RNAcentral is "partial 16S ribosomal RNA". It matches the Rfam family "Bacterial small subunit ribosomal RNA", at positions 523 to 918 of the family's 1533-position model. The record is from RNAcentral.